Molecule: ribosomal RNA, 497 nt
Filed under: uncultured bacterium
Lineage: Bacteria
Description: partial 16S ribosomal RNA
Rfam family: Bacterial small subunit ribosomal RNA
Source: RNAcentral
GAUGAACGCUGGCGGCGUGCCUAAUACAUACAAGUCGAUCGAACAGACGAGGAGCUUGCUCCUCUGACGUUAGCGGCGGACGGGUGAGUAACACGUGGAUAACCUACCUAUAAGACUGGGAUAACUUCGGGAAACCGGAGCUAAUACCGGAUAAUAUAUUGAACCGCAUGGUUCAAUAGUGAAAGACGGUUUUGCUGUCACUUAUAGAUGGAUCCGCGCCGCAUUAGCUAGUUGGUAAGGUAACGGCUUACCAAGGCAACGAUGCGUAGCCGACCUGAGAGGGUGAUCGGCCACACUGGAACUGAGACACGGUCCAGACUCCUACGGGAGGCAGCAGUAGGGAAUCUUCCGCAAUGGGCGAAAGCCUGACGGAGCAACGCCGCGUGAGUGAUGAAGGUCUUCGGAUCGUAAAACUCUGUUAUUAGGGAAGAACAAAUGUGUAAGUAACUAUGCACGUCUUGACGGUACCUAAUCAGAAAGCCACGGCUAACUACGUG